CAAGGGGACAGCGAGACAGGUGCUGCAUGGCUGUCGUCAGCUCGUGUCGUGAGAUGUUGGGUUAAGUCCCCGCAACCGAGCCGCAACCCUCAUCCUUAGUUGCCAUCAUUGAGUUGGGAACUCUAAGGAAACUGCCUCGGUUAACGGGAGGAAGGUGGGGAUGACGUCAAGUCCUCAUGGCCUUUAUGUCCAGGGCUACACACGUGCUACAAUGGGCGGAACAAAGGGUUGCAAUACCGCAAGGUGGAGCUAAUCUCAAAAACCGCUCUCAGUUCAGAUUGGAGUCUGCAACUCGACUCCAUGAAGGCGGAAUCGCUAGUAACCGCGCGUCAGCAAUAGUGCGGUGAAUACGGUUCCCGGGCCUU
This 365-nucleotide ribosomal RNA is filed under the name uncultured delta proteobacterium. RNAcentral describes it as "bacterial SSU rRNA". It matches the Rfam family "Bacterial small subunit ribosomal RNA", at positions 1019 to 1382 of the family's 1533-position model. The record is from RNAcentral. Lineage: Bacteria; Deltaproteobacteria.